GACGAACGCUGGCGGCGUGCUUAACACAUGCAAGUCGAACGGAAAGACCCUGCUUUUGUGGGGUGCUCGAGUGGCGAACGGGUGAGUAACACGUGAGUAACCUGCCCUUGACUUUGGGAUAACUUCAGGAAACUGGGGCUAAUACCGGAUAGGAGCUCCUGCUGCAUGGUGGGGGUUGGAAAGUUUCGGCGGUUGGGGAUGGACUCGCGGCUUAUCAGCUUGUUGGUGGGGUAGUGGCUUACCAAGGCUUUGACGGGUAGCCGGCCUGAGAGGGUGACCGGCCACAUUGGGAAUGAGAUACGGCCCAGACUCCUACGGGAGGCAGCAGUGGGGAAUAUUGCACAAUGGGCGGAAGCCUGAUGCAGCAACGCCGCGUGCGGGAUGACGGCCUUCGGGUUGUAAACCGCUUUCGCCUGUGACGAAGCGUGAGUGACGGUAAUGGGUAAAGAAGCACCGGCUAACUACGUG
RNAcentral lists this ribosomal RNA (468 nucleotides) under uncultured bacterium. RNAcentral's name for it is "partial 16S ribosomal RNA". It matches the Rfam family "Bacterial small subunit ribosomal RNA", at positions 28 to 507 of the family's 1533-position model. The record is from RNAcentral.